RNAcentral lists this ribosomal RNA (468 nucleotides) under uncultured bacterium. RNAcentral describes it as "partial 16S ribosomal RNA". It matches the Rfam family "Bacterial small subunit ribosomal RNA", at positions 28 to 507 of the family's 1533-position model. The record is from RNAcentral.
GACGAACGCUGGCGGCGUGCUUAACACAUGCAAGUCGAACGGAAGGGCCCUGCUUUUGUGGGGUGCUCGAGUGGCGAACGGGUGAGUAACACGUGAGUAACCUGCCCUUGACUUUGGGAUAACUUCAGGAAACUGGGGCUAAUACCGGAUAGGAGCUCCUGCUGCAUGGUGGGGGUUGGAAAGUUUCGGCGGUUGGGGAUGGACUCGCGGCUUAUCAGCUUGUUGGUGGGGUAGUGGCUUACCAAGGCUUUGACGGGUAGCCGGCCUGAGAGGGUGACCGGCCACAUUGGGACUGAGAUACGGCCCAGACUCCUACGGGAGGCAGCAGUGGGGAAUAUUGCACAAUGGGCGGAAGCCUGAUGCAGCAACGCCGCGUGCGGGAUGACGGCCUUCGGGUUGUAAACCGCUUUCGCCUGUGACGAAGCGUGAGUGACGGUAAUGGGUAAAGAAGUACCGGCUAACUACGUG